AGGCCGGUAGCUCAGCCUGGUAGAGCACUCGACUUUUAACAAAGUCGGGCUUUUACUCGACCGGAAGGUUAUCGAGUGGUCGCGGGUUCGAACCCCGUCCGGCCUA
Molecule: transfer RNA, 106 nt
Filed under: archaeon D22
Lineage: Archaea
Rfam family: tRNA
About the family: Transfer RNA (tRNA) molecules are approximately 80 nucleotides in length.
Source: Rfam by way of RNAcentral